CUUUACUGUAGCUUUACAUUGGACUUUGAACAGAUCUGUGUAGGAUAGGUGGGAGGCUUUGAAGCGGUGCCGCUAGGUGUCGUGGAGCCAACGUUGAAAUACCACCCUGGUGUGUUUGAGGUUCUAACCUUGGCCCGUGAUCCGGGUUGGGGACAGUGUAUGGUGGGCAGUUUGACUGGGGCGGUCUCCUCCCAAAGCGUAACGGAGGAGUUCGAAGGUACGCUAGGCACGGUCGGAAAUCGUGCUGAUAGUGCAUUGGCAUAAGCGUGCUUGACUGCGAGACUGACAAGUCGAGCAGGUACGAAAGUAGGACAAAGUGAUCCGGUGGUUCUGUAUGGAAGGGCCAUCGCUCAACGGAUAAAAGGUA
Molecule: ribosomal RNA, 367 nt
Filed under: uncultured organism
Description: bacterial LSU rRNA
Rfam family: Bacterial large subunit ribosomal RNA
Source: RNAcentral